CCUACGGGUGGCAGCAGUGAGGAAUAUUGGUCAAUGGGCGUAAGCCUGAACCAGCCAAGUCGCGUGAGGGAUGAAGGUUCUAUGGAUUGUAAACCUCUUUAGGCGGGGAGCAAUGCCGGGCACGCGUGCCCGGAGGGAGAGUACCCGCAGAAUAAGCAUCGGCUAACUCCGUGCCAGCAGCCGCGGUAAUACGGAGGGUGCGAGCGUUAAUCGGAAUUACUGGGCGUAAAGCGCUCGUAGGCGGUAUGUCAAGUCAAGGGUGAAAUCCCCGCGCUCAACGUGGGAACUGCCUUUGAAACUGGCAAACUGGAGUGUGUGAGAGGAUAGUGGAAUUCCAGGUGUAGGAGUGAAAUCCGUAGAUAUCUGGAGGAACAUCAGUGGCGAAGGCGACUAUCUGGCACAUAACUGACGCUGAGGAGCGAAAGCGUGGGUAGCAAACAGGAUUAGAUACCCUGGUAGUC
RNAcentral lists this ribosomal RNA (461 nucleotides) under uncultured bacterium. RNAcentral's name for it is "partial 16S ribosomal RNA". It matches the Rfam family "Bacterial small subunit ribosomal RNA", at positions 338 to 795 of the family's 1533-position model. The record is from RNAcentral.